CCCUGACUCUCUUUUUGGACCCAGCACACCUGCACCCAGGGGAAAUAAACAGCUUUAUUGCUCACAGAAAGCCUGUUUGGUGGUCUCUUCACACAGACACGAGUGAAAUUUGGUGCUGUGACUUGGAUCGGGGGACCUCCCUUGGGACAUCAAUCCCCUGUCCUCCUGUUCUUUGCUCCGUGAGAAAGAUCCACCUACAACCUCAGGUCCUCAGACUGACCAGCCCAAGAAACGUCUCACCAAUUUCAAGUAUGGUACACAUCCAGAUGGCUGGUUCCUGCCUUAACUGCUGACAUUCCACCACAAAAGAAGUGAAAAUGUCCUGUUCCUGCCUUAACUGAUGACAUUGUCUUGUGAAAUUCCUUCUCCUGGCUCAUCCCGGCUCAAAAGCUCCCCCACUGAGUACCUUGUGACCCCCACUCUGCCGGCCAGAGAACACCCCCCUUUGACUGUAAUUUUCCUUUAUCUACCCAAAUCCUAUAAAACGGCCCCACCCCUAUUUCCCUUCGCUGACUCUCUUUUUGGACUCAGCCCACCUGCACCCAGGUGAAAUAAACAGCUUUAUUGCUCACACAAA
Molecule: long non-coding RNA, 577 nt
Organism: Homo sapiens (human)
Lineage: Eukaryota; Metazoa; Chordata; Mammalia; Primates; Hominidae
Source: Ensembl